UACGUAGGGUGCGAGCGUUGUCCGGAAUUAUUGGGCGUAAAGGGCUCGUAGGCGGUUUGUCGCGUCGGGAGUGAAAUCCACUGGCUUAACUGGUGGCUUGCUUUCGAUACGGGCAGACUGGAGGUAUGCAGGGGAGAACGGAAUUCCUGGUGUAGCGGUGAAAUGCGCAGAUAUCAGGAGGAACACCGGUGGCGAAGGCGGUUCUCUGGGCAUGUCCUGACGCUGAGGAGCGACAGCUAGGGGAGCAAACAGG
Molecule: ribosomal RNA, 253 nt
Filed under: uncultured bacterium
Lineage: Bacteria
Description: partial 16S ribosomal RNA
Rfam family: Bacterial small subunit ribosomal RNA
Source: RNAcentral